Molecule: ribosomal RNA, 254 nt
Filed under: uncultured bacterium
Lineage: Bacteria
Description: partial 16S ribosomal RNA
Rfam family: Bacterial small subunit ribosomal RNA
Source: RNAcentral
UACGGAGGGUGCGAGCGUUGUCCGGAAUCAUUGGGCGUAAAGGGCGCGUAGGUGGCCUGCUAAGCGUGCGGUGAAAGUCGGGGGCUCAACCCCCGAUCGGCCGUGCGAACUGGGAGGCUUGAGCACUGUAGAGGCAGGCGGAAUUCCGGGUGUAGCGGUGGAAUGCGCAGAUAUCAGGAGGAACACCGGUGGCGAAGGCGGGUCUCUGGGCCAUUACUGACGCUGAGGAGCGAAAGCGUGGGGGAGCGAACAGG